This 204-nucleotide ribosomal RNA is filed under the name uncultured Streptococcus sp. Its description in RNAcentral is "partial 16S ribosomal RNA". It matches the Rfam family "Bacterial small subunit ribosomal RNA", at positions 1180 to 1382 of the family's 1533-position model. The record is from RNAcentral. Lineage: Bacteria; Bacillati; Bacillota; Bacilli; Lactobacillales; Streptococcaceae.
UGACGUCAAUACAUCAUGCCCCUUACUGACCUGGGCUACACACGUGCUACAAUGGUUGGUACAACGAGUUGCGAGUCGGUGACGGCGAGCUAAUCUCUUAAAGCCAAUCUCAGUUCGGAUUGUAGGCUGCAACUCGCCUACAUGAAGUCGGAAUCGCUAGUAAUCGCGGAUCAGCACGCCGCGGUGAAUACGUUCCCGGGCCUU